CCGCGGGGGCUCAGCUGGGCGGUGGUCGGGUCCUGAGGCCGGAGGGCGGGAGCAGGGGAGGGGAAAAGCAAAAGCGGGGAAAGAAGCCGGGGAGCGGUGGACCAGACGUCCAGACCUCCUGAAAGGCUGGCGGGGAGGCACAGGCGGGAUCUUCCGGAGGUGAGAAUUUUUUUUUAUUAUAGCAGAAUGGGGAGGAAUUGAGGGGAAAAUGGAGAUAGAACCUGAAAGAGCCCCAAACGCCAGAACCUGUAGCUCCCCAAGAAUAAGAUCUUCCAGAAGAACUAGACCCAAAACUAGCCGUUGGGGAACACCGAAAUCCUUGGAGGAGCAACAUCCGCAUGACCCUCUGUGUUCCUUUAGGCAAAAGGACUUGCUUCCAUUGUUUGUUCAAUUGUUUGUGUUUGUUAAAUAAAUAAAACGAUUUUCAUGUAUCUUUGAAAUUA
This 443-nucleotide unclassified non-coding RNA is filed under the name Homo sapiens (human). Its description in RNAcentral is "novel transcript (ENSG00000280708.1)". The record is from RNAcentral. Lineage: Eukaryota; Metazoa; Chordata; Mammalia; Primates; Hominidae.